AGGUGGCCCAGCAGCGGCCGCGACGGCGGGCUCGGCGCGCCGUUGCCGUUGCCGUGCCCCUGACCACGCCGCCUCGAGGACCAGACGGCCGCCGCGAGGAGGAGCAGGGAGACGGCGAGGGCAAGGAGGAGAACGGGAGCGUCGCCGCUCGACGACACGGCCGUCGCCGCCGCGUCCAUGGCUGCAAGUUCCGACGUCCUCGCUGCCGCCGCGUAUUCGAGCACGAGCAGACGCCACCCACCGAGUGUGUGGCGCCGUGGCCGUGCCGUAGCUGUGGGACAGUGGGAGAAAGGAAGGCAGGGAAGGACGAGAGGGUGCCGGGGAGAUAUUUUUAUCUUGUGUCUGUCAACAUCGAGAGGAUACGUACGUGCUCCAAUGACGAGGAUGGCGAUAGGCCGGCU
RNAcentral lists this unclassified non-coding RNA (401 nucleotides) under Zea mays. RNAcentral's name for it is "misc RNA Zm00001eb030180". The record is from RNAcentral. Lineage: Eukaryota; Viridiplantae; Streptophyta; Magnoliopsida; Poales; Poaceae.